Molecule: long non-coding RNA, 1165 nt
Filed under: Cyanistes caeruleus (blue tit)
Lineage: Eukaryota; Metazoa; Chordata; Aves; Passeriformes; Paridae
Description: lncRNA (ENSCCEG00000017289.1)
Source: RNAcentral
CGAGAAUUGAGUGUUAAAGAACACUUUGCAUGUUCUUGAUCAAGUUUGUGUUCACUUACUGGCAAAAGAGGCCAAAGUGUAGGCACAAGCAAGAAUAUUGCCCAGUUCCUUGUUGGAUGUGUGAAAGAAUGGUGUCCCCUGAGGGAUGCUGUCAGAGGAAAAUACCCUCUGUUUGGGUUCACUUAUUCUAUGGGAUUCAGCAGCCCAGGCAGUUUUCUCACCCCAUUGCGUUCAUUUUCCCUUGCUCACUGCAGGUCACCUGAGGCGUGUGUUCAGAGGUGCCGAUCCUGAGAGCCCAGAACCAACAGCAGACUCUUCUCUGGCUCCCUCUGCUCCUGGAGAAGAGGCCAAAGAGGAGCAAAAUGACCACAAGCCUCCAGCAGUGGUCACACCCCAGCCUGAACAUUCAGAGCCUGUUGUUCUGGAGAAAGAGCAGGAGCAGAUUGAUUUGUCAGAGGGGCAAUGCCAGACUGAGGGAGAGCUGUUGCCAGCCCGAGAGCAGGAAGAGCAGCUUGGGCAGCAGGUGGAAGAGGCACUGGAGAAUGGCCAGAAUAUCAAGGCAGAGCCACAGGCAGAGUUGCCUGAAGCUCAGAGUGCCAUUGUGGCAGUGAAGGGAAGGCACCAGGAAGACAUGAGGAGCACCGAAGAGGAGAUGAGGCUCCAUCAGCAGAGAGGAGACCAACAAAACCGGGUGAGUGAAAGAGUGGCAGCCACUCCACUCAUUAAGCUGUCUCUCUCUUCUGCUUUACAGAACUUCAAGGAAAAGCUGCAGGCAGAGCUGCAGGAAGCUCGGGCUAGGAUCGAGGCAAGGGAGAAGAGGCUGGAGGAAGGAAUGAAAAUCAUCAAAGAGAAAACAAAUCACCUGAUUGAGGAGAUGGAGGUUCUAGACAAUCAAGUUGGAGUGUUGACAUCUCACCUGGCAGCCUCGGAAGGCUUCCAGCAAAUGACUGGUGAUGAAGAGACCCAAGGUCGACAUGAGGCACAGCAACUGUCCCAAGCAGAGAUACUGAAGGUUGAGCGUGUCUCAAAGAUGGUGGAGGAAAAGUGGACUCAGUGGGAGGAGAUCUACACAGGCUCUUCUAUUGAAUCUGCUGCAUCAUCAUCAUCAUCAUCAUCAGCAGCAGCAGCAGCAGACAGCAGCAGCAGCAGCAGCAGCAUCAUCUAA